Molecule: ribosomal RNA, 393 nt
Filed under: uncultured bacterium
Lineage: Bacteria
Description: partial 16S ribosomal RNA
Rfam family: Bacterial small subunit ribosomal RNA
Source: RNAcentral
AUACGGAGGAUGCAAGCGUUAUCCGGAUUUAUUGGGUUUAAAGGGUGCGUAGGCGGUUUGCUAAGCGGGAGGUGAAAUGCCGGCGCUCAACGUCGGAAGUGCCUCCCGAACUGGCGGACUGGAAUGACUCUGCCGUGGGAGGAAUGUGUAGUGUAGCGGUGAAAUGCUUAGAGAUUACACAGAACACCGAUUGCGAAGGCAUCUCACGAAGGGUUGAUUGACGCUGAGGCACGAAAGCGUGGGGAUCAAACAGGAUUAGAUACCCUGGUAGUCCACGCAGUAAACGAUGAUGGCUAACCGCUGGUUUAUUCGGAUCAGUGGCCAAGCGAAAGCGAUAAGCCAUCCACCUGGGGAGUACGACCGCAAGGUUGAAACUCAAAUGAAUUGACGGGG